UGGAGAUCAGGAUGUCAAGAGGGCUGAGGGAGCGUUGCUUCUACUCACCAGGUCCUCUGAGCACCCCUGGCCACUGUGCUUCAACUACCCCGUCGUUCUCCCACACAGUGUAAAAGUCAAACUACCUGGGACCCAAAUUUUGCCCUCCCCAGAUCCUGCAGCCAGUAAGUCCUGCUUGUGCCAGCUCCUGUGUGAGCUGCUGUGAAGGGGUGAGCGUGCCAAGGCAGGAAGGCGGUGCGGUUCACAGCAGCCAAGGGCACAGGCGGCACACCUCUGAAUGACGUGGAAAGGAAAGGAGAACAAUGAAGUGUGUCCCUAAAUCAGUGAAGAAAUCUCAAAACCAAAAACAUCCUACAUCAUGGGUUUUAUGGCUGUUACAGAGUUCUGCUGACUUAUUAUUGGCAUAGACGCCAGAGAAUGGUUUUAUAUAAGGAGAAAAGAAAGCUGGGGAGUAAUUGAGGGUUGGCUACUAAAUCAACAUAGAGAGGCUUUCAAAUGCUAGGGCCAGCAGACCGCAGGAGCAGUAACUGCUUUCUUCUGUGGUGUUAUGCGAGUGCUAGUGUUUUAUACCUUAGCAGUAGUACCAGGAGGCUUCAAGAACCUGCUUGGGCUGUAUCAGCCUGAAUAGUGAUGGAAGAAGACGAAAGGCAGAAGAGGAUGAAACUCUGCUUUUAAAAGGUCAAGCAGCAUCAGUAAUGAGAGAGCUGCACGUAGAGACAUCUAGCACAGGUAAAGGAGCAGCCAGACUGCAAAACAAGGACAACAGCUCAUCCUGUAAGUAACCUGAUCAGACAGAGGGAGGUGUAGACUCAGUGAUAUUCAUUCAGAGUGAAUAUCAGUUACUUUUCCACAUCUUUCAUUUUGUUCUUGUGUAAGUACUAUUGAGAGGAUUUAAAAACAAUUCUGGUCUCAUGCUAGAACUUCAGACAAGUACUCUGAGGUUCUUCAGGGCAGCACCACAAAAAUCCUGCAGGGGCCCCUCCUCCCUUGCCACCUUUAUUUAUAGAGCUGUAGAGCAAAUGUAAUUACAAGUUGGUACAAAUUAAAUUGAUUAUCUGGUAUUUCUAAACUUCUUGUCCUCUGGAUACAGAAGAA
RNAcentral lists this long non-coding RNA (1095 nucleotides) under Anser brachyrhynchus (Pink-footed goose). RNAcentral's name for it is "lncRNA (ENSABRG00000007409.1)". The record is from RNAcentral. Lineage: Eukaryota; Metazoa; Chordata; Aves; Anseriformes; Anatidae.